UACGUAGGGGGCAAGCGUUGUCCGGAGUUACUGGGCGUAAAGGGCGCGCAGGCGGUUCGGCAAGUUUGGAGUGACAGUGCUCGGCUUAACUGAGCAAGGCCUUCAAAAACUGCGGGACUUGAGGACUUGAGAGGGACAUAGAAUUCCGGGUGGAGUGGUGAAAUGCGUAGAUAUCCGGAGGAAUACCAAAGGCGAAGGCAGUGUCCUGGCAAGUAACUGACGCUGAGGCGCGAAAGCUAGGGGAGCGAAC
RNAcentral lists this ribosomal RNA (250 nucleotides) under uncultured bacterium. RNAcentral describes it as "partial 16S ribosomal RNA". It matches the Rfam family "Bacterial small subunit ribosomal RNA", at positions 524 to 773 of the family's 1533-position model. The record is from RNAcentral.